This is a long non-coding RNA of Lagopus muta (rock ptarmigan), 1372 nucleotides long. RefSeq lists it as uncharacterized. The record is from RefSeq and is a predicted model, not a curated record. The transcript has 3 exons. NCBI's taxonomy places the organism in Eukaryota, Metazoa, Chordata, Aves, Galliformes, Phasianidae.
GGAAGGAUCUCUUCUGGAGAUCACCUCUCUUGGUGUUUUGUGGGUGAGCCCAGCAUAAGGGCAGAUGGAAGAAACAGUGACAGUCAGUACAGAAAAAUCUGUGAGAAGGCUGACGUGGAGGGAAAGCAUGAGCUCUUGGAGUGCCUACUGAAAUAUUGUACUUGUGAAGGAUGUAAAAGUGGAAAGAAAGGCAGAGAAGAGAGAAAGAUGAGACAGAUUCUUCCCAGUGCUGCAGAAGUUAAAGAUGACAACUCUUGAUUCUUGCCUCCCCCUCUUGCCCUGAAUCCUGUUGUAUUGCUGAAAUUCCAGUGAUUCAAAGUGACCUAACAAACUCUCCAGAGGUAGAGAAAGCAAUCUAUGCAGGUUUUGUUUGCAUAAAUGAGUGAAUUCCUACCAAAAAGAGUCUGGAUUGGCAGCUGUGAAGACUUUCAUCCUCUUUUCACUCACAAGGCAAAAAUAAUGCAGCAGCAAUGUGCCUGGGAUGACUACUGUGCUGUCUAACAGGAGGGGUCGAACUGGGGAACUUCCAGAGUUUAAAAGCAUGGCCUUCUUUAUAACCUGAGCUGGAGGCAAGAGGUCCAUCAGAGAUCUGUAAGCUCUAGGGACUGGAAAUGCAAAGGAAGCUCUAGAUCACAGACUGCCUUCUCAAUUGUGUGAUCUCCCUCAAAAAAUGAGAUCUUUCCCAGUGUCCGGGCUUUACAGCAUUGCAAAUCCUGUUCAAGUCACUACUUAAGUGAAUGGAGGUUAUCUUAUUGGUCAUACCAGAAACUGCAAUUCAGUCCUUAACUGGAGGAAAAGUAAUCCUUGGGUCAGGUUAGAUUUAGAUUCUCUGGAGAUGCUGUUGAUGGAUUCUCUGGGCUUGUUCUACAGGCAUGAUUCCAUUGUGAUUACCAGGGUAAUUGCACCUCUAACUGUCCCAAAUAUCAAGCUUCUGGGUCUUGGAUCAGCUGAGUAAUCCUCCUCCUUUCACCCUGUCUGCAAACCCCUGUGCAGCAAUGGAGUGGCUCCACCUCUCCUAGACCCCAUUUAAGAGCUGACUACCACUGGGGAAGAUCUCUUUUGGAGAUCACUCCUCUUGGAGUCUUCUCAGCAAGUCCAGGACAAGGGUAAGCUUUCCAUCCACUUUUCUUUAUCACGAUAACCUGUUUAGCCUAACUUUCCUGUACAUUUCUUAAUUAUAACAUCUGUAUAUUCAUGGAUUACACAACCUGUAAGGCAGUCAGGCUGCUGCAGGCCCCCAUGCUCCUGGGAAGCUCCGGGCCACCCUAUAGGUUCUGUGUUUCCAUGAAACACAAACCUUGUCCUUAGCCUGUAGCCAAGGGUUUUGGAAAUUCUAAAUACGGUGCUGGCCACCAGGCUUUUCUAACAGAGG